UGCGUCACGCCGGCGAAGUCGC
This 22-nucleotide unclassified non-coding RNA is filed under the name synthetic construct. RNAcentral describes it as "RNA (5'-R(P*UP*GP*CP*GP*UP*CP*AP*CP*GP*CP*CP*GP*GP*CP*GP*AP*AP*GP*UP*CP*GP*C)-3'... from synthetic construct (PDB 6JBG, chain B)". The record is from RNAcentral.